RNAcentral lists this long non-coding RNA (238 nucleotides) under Hordeum vulgare. RNAcentral describes it as "long non-coding RNA (HVUL_LNC006876)". The record is from RNAcentral. Lineage: Eukaryota; Viridiplantae; Streptophyta; Magnoliopsida; Poales; Poaceae.
UUCUUUUUUCUUUUCUUCGUUACACCGUUAGAUCUAAGAUGUGCGGGUUAGAUUAGUUCUUAGAAUACCACUUCGGUUUAGAUUAGAAAACCGUCGGUUUUAUUUCACUUAUUCUUUAGCCAGUAGUUUCGGUUAGAACUAGGCCGUUUGCUCCUAACGUUUGCAACAAACAACUCCGCAGCCUAUCGUCGCGCGCCACGUAUACCCCCUGUUAGUUAGCUAGUUAACUUCAUUUUUU